RNAcentral lists this ribosomal RNA (497 nucleotides) under uncultured bacterium. Its description in RNAcentral is "partial 16S ribosomal RNA". It matches the Rfam family "Bacterial small subunit ribosomal RNA", at positions 28 to 507 of the family's 1533-position model. The record is from RNAcentral.
GAUGAACGCUGGCGGCGUGCCUAAUACAUGCAAGUCGAGCGAACAGACGAGGAGCUUGCUCCUCUGACGUUAGCGGCGGACGGGUGAGUAACACGUGGAUAACCUACCUAUAAGACUGGGAUAACUUCGGGAAACCGGAGCUAAUACCGGAUAAUAUAUUGAACCGCAUGGUUCAAUAGUGAAAGACGGUUUUGCUGUCACUUAUAGAUGGAUCCGCGCCGCAUUAGCUAGUUGGUAAGGUAACGGCUUACCAAGGCAACGAUGCGUAGCCGACCUGAGAGGGUGAUCGGCCACACUGGAACUGAGACACGGUCCAGACUCCUACGGGAGGCAGCAGUAGGGAAUCUUCCGCAAUGGGCGAAAGCCUGACGGAGCAACGCCGCGUGAGUGAUGAAGGUCUUCGGAUCGUAAAACUCUGUUAUUAGGGAAGAACAAAUGUGUAAGUAACUAUGCACGUCUUGACGGUACCUAAACAGAAAGCCACGGCUAACUACGUG